This 480-nucleotide ribosomal RNA is filed under the name uncultured bacterium. RNAcentral describes it as "bacterial SSU rRNA". It matches the Rfam family "Bacterial small subunit ribosomal RNA", at positions 39 to 469 of the family's 1533-position model. The record is from RNAcentral.
AGAAGUGGCGGCCGCUAACACAGCAAGUCGAUGCGCAGUCAUUGUGGCAAUACAGGUAGGCGGGCGCACGGCGCACGGGUGCGUAACACGUGGGCAAUCUGCCCUUUGAUGGGGAAUAACCCGCCGAAAGGCGGGCUAAUACCGCAUAACAUCCCCAAUUCGCUUCCGGCGAUAGGGAUUAAAGUCCCGCAAGGGCGUUCAUUAGGAAGGAGCUCCGCGGUCCGAUUAGCUAGUUUGGUAGGGUCAAUUAGGCCUACCAAGGCUUGGAUCGGUAGCCGGNNCUUGUAGAGGACGAUCGGCCACACUUGGUAACUUGCAGACACGGUUCCAUACUUCCUAACGGGCAGGCAACCAUUGGGGAAUCUUGCCCAAUGGGCGAAAGCCUUGACGCAUACAAUCGCCGUCGUGGGGGAAUGAAAGCCUUCUUCCGGAGUGUAAAACCCCCUUUCUAACCCGGACCAAUUCAAUCCGUCAAUGGNU